GGGGAAUAUUGGACAAUGGACCAAAAGUCUGAUCCAGCAAUUCUGUGUGCUUGAUGAAGGCCUUCGGGUUGUAAAGAGCUUUAAGUAGGGAAGAAGAAAGUGACGGUACCUACAGAAUAAGCGACGGCUAAAUACGUGCCAGCAGCCGCGGUAAUACGUAUGUCGCAAGCGUUAUCCGGAAUUAUUGGGCAUAAAGGGCGUCUAGGCGGUUUAGAAAGUCUGAUGUGAAAAUGCGGGGCUCAACCCCGUAUUGCGUUGGAAGCUACUAGACUAGAGUAUUGGAGAGGUAAGCGGAACUACAAGUGUAGAGGUGAAAUUCGUAGAUAUUUGUAGGAAUGCCAAUUGGGAAGCCAGCUUACUGGACAAAUACUGACGCUGAAGCGCGAAAGCUAGGGGAGCAAAC
Molecule: ribosomal RNA, 403 nt
Filed under: uncultured bacterium
Lineage: Bacteria
Description: bacterial SSU rRNA
Rfam family: Bacterial small subunit ribosomal RNA
Source: RNAcentral